AACGCAUCUUGCGCUCCCUGGUCUUCCACGGAGCAUGCCUGUUUGAGUGUCACGUAAACCCCUCACACUGGUGAUGUCAAAGUCGCCUGCUGUGGACUUGGAUGGUGCCGUCGUCGGCUCGUCCCGAAAUGCAUUAGCUUGCGACUCUUAGAGUGCAUGGCGUGGUGUGAUAAUAAUCUGCGCCGCUGCCGUUGGCCUCUUCCGUGUGUGCGUGGCUCACAGCCGUCCCCCCCGAGGGACAAUUUUUAAAGCUUUGGCCUCAAAUCAGGCAGGACUACCCGCUGAACUUAA
This 291-nucleotide unclassified non-coding RNA is filed under the name uncultured fungus. RNAcentral's name for it is "sequence contains ITS2". The record is from RNAcentral. Lineage: Eukaryota; Fungi.